CUAAACACGUUGACGAGAUAAGUAAAAGUUACAGUUUCUAAAGAGAGCCGAUGGUUGGUGUAAAUCGGCGAAACCAGACUUCGAAAAUGGUCUCUGAGUAUUGUUGUCGUGAGCCUUUGCAAGCGACAACCGGAUACGCCCGUUAUUGCGUUACCGUAUCGCGCUUUGGCGCCGUACGCAUAAGUGUUUAUUGGUAACAAUAAACAAAAUUCGGGUGGUACCACGCAAAAGCGUCCCGUGA
RNAcentral lists this non-coding RNA (241 nucleotides) under Lacticaseibacillus manihotivorans. RNAcentral's name for it is "Lactobacillus manihotivorans T-box sequence". It matches the Rfam family "T-box leader". Rfam says of the family: Uncharged tRNA acts as the effector for transcription antitermination of genes in the T-box leader family. T-boxes are found upstream of many aminoacyl-tRNA synthetase genes and some amino acid biosynthetic genes usually in Gram-positive bacteria. The record is from RNAcentral. Lineage: Bacteria; Bacillati; Bacillota; Bacilli; Lactobacillales; Lactobacillaceae.